CAUGGGUAACCCUGAGCCCCGAGGAGUCGAGGUAAAGGCUCUCAGAGCCCUAAGCCUGAGACCCGCAGCCUUUCCCCACACCCUUUCCUCCCACCCAGAAUGCCUGUCACUCUGUCUGGCAAGGCAGCCAUUUAAAAAUGUCAAAUUAUUUGACUCCAGUUCCCUCAAGGGGUUCUCGGAAUGGAAACAACAUUGAGCAGGGAACUCGCACAUCUUUUUUUUUUUUUUUUAAGUCAUCUCUAUGCCCAAUGUGGGGCUUGAACUCACAACCCCGAGAUCAAGAGUUGCAUGGCUCCACCAACUGAGCCACCCAGGAGCCGCGGCUCCAACUUCUUAAUUGCUUGCCGGUGAAACAAAGAUGAGACAAGAUGGCAGAAAGGGGCGCAGGGGAGUUGCUGUGCACAUCCCACCCACCACCUUCCAACUCACCGUGCCGGGCGAUGACGUCAACAUCAACCACCGCACAACCCAGCUGCUGGAACACCUGGAUCACCGAGCUCUUGCCUGAGGCGAUGCCCCCUGUCAGGCCCACCAGGAACAUCUUCCCAGGAAAGAGGAGGCCAGCGAGAAUGCAGAGCCGGGAGGCGGGGAAUUACCGGAGUAGGGUACGCUUGGCUGGCUGGGAUGGCCCACCCCAGGAACACCAGAACGACCUGCCCUGCCUGUGGACGACACCAGGCCUGAUAAGUGUCAUGCCCGAAUGACCCGGGGAGAGGGAGGCACAGGAAGGGAAGGGAGACGCAGCCUGCCCACGCAGAGUGUGGAGUUCUGAGCUUAGGGAACUCUGGAUCCAUCCGAAGAUGGAAAAUUCUCUCAGGACAGGCCUCCAGUAGUCUUUAGAAAACACUCAUAAACAAGGCAAACAACACGGUAUAAAUUUAGCAAUCAAAAUGCCGAGUAGGCAGAACAAGGUCAGGUGCUGCAACGCAGAGUGCUUUCUGGAGGCGGGGGUACCCGCUAUAGGCGAACUUCCCAUAAGAAGGGCACACCUGUCCCUCCGUAGUGAACCCAAGGCACUUUCCAGAUGCCCACAGAGCUCCCCUGUCUCUGCCACUUUAUAGUCUGGGGCACUGAGGCUCACAGGGAAGAAUGUCCUCCCACCCCCCACCCCCCCCAACCCCCCCCCCCAACCUCCAGCACCAACACUAAGACCGUCUAGGUGGCUAGUUUAGACAGAAGAAUCCUUCCUCUUCAACCAACAAGUGGCCCAGACGGGAGAGCUCAGCGGAAGCAGUGGCUGGUGGUGAUUAGGCCUGAGGUUUAGAGGAGUAUGGAUCUUGCCCAGGAGGAAUGUGAGGGAAGGAUGACAGGCUGCGGGAGAGAACUUGGCGUUGGAAUUUGCGGCUCUCUCAGACUGA
Lynx canadensis (Canada lynx) is the source of this 1358-nucleotide long non-coding RNA. RefSeq lists it as uncharacterized. The transcript is spliced from 2 exons. The record is from RefSeq and is a predicted model, not a curated record. Lineage: Eukaryota; Metazoa; Chordata; Mammalia; Carnivora; Felidae.